UACGUAGGGUGCAAGCGUUGUUCGGAAUUACUGGGCGUAAAGCGCGCGUAGGCGGAUUGGAAAGUCGAUUGUGAAAUCCCUGGGCUUAACCUGGGAAUUGCAGUCGAAACUCCCAAUCUUGAGUGCCUGAGAGGAUGGCGGAAUUCCCGGUGUAGUAGUGAAAUACGUAGAUAUCGGGAAGAACACCUGAGGCGAAGGCGGCUAUCUGGCGGUGCACUAACGCUGAGGCGCGAAAGCGUGGGGAGCAAACAGG
This 253-nucleotide ribosomal RNA is filed under the name uncultured bacterium. RNAcentral describes it as "partial 16S ribosomal RNA". It matches the Rfam family "Bacterial small subunit ribosomal RNA", at positions 524 to 776 of the family's 1533-position model. The record is from RNAcentral.